CGGGAGCGCGCGUGAGAGCGGCGUCCGGCGCUGCACGGCCCUGCGGAGCUGCGGCGACCCGACUGUACGGCCCGGAAAAUAAAUAUGCUGCAGGAAGAGCUUAGCUGAUCACAGAACACACCAUGGGCAUCUAUUUUCUUGCGUUCAUUGUGGGGUUUUGCUGGGCACAGUACAAUCCCAACACUCAGCCCGGGAGAACGUCUAUCGUGCAUCUCUUUGAAUGGCGCUGGGCCGAUAUUGCUCUGGAAUGUGAGCGCUAUUUAGCUCCUAAUGGGUUUGGAGGAGUUCAGAUUUCGCCUCCAAAUGAAAAUCUUGUCAUUGCUGAUCCCUCACGUCCAUGGUGGGAAAGAUACCAGCCAGUCAGCUACAAACUCUGCACGCGAUCGGGAAACGAAACUGAAUUUAGAGACAUGGUGGCCAGGUGCAACAAUGUUGGUGUAUAUGUUUAUGCAGAUGCAGUAAUAAACCACAUGUGUGGAGGUAAUGCUGGUACUGGCAAUCAUUCUACUUGUGGAAGCUAUUUCAGUGCUGAGAAGGAAGAUUUUCCAGCUGUGCCAUAUUCUGCCUGGGAUUUUAAUGAUGCUAAAUGUAAAUCCAGAAGUGGAGACAUUGAGGAUUAUCAAGAUGCAUAUCAGGUCCGAAACUGCCGCUUAGUCAGUCUUCUUGAUUUGGCCCUGGAAAAGAACUACGUGCGCUCCAAGAUUGCAGAGUACAUGAAUUACCUCAUUGACAUCGGUGUAGCUGGGUUCCGGAUUGAUGCCGCCAAGCAUAUGUGGCCAGGGGAUGUGAAGGCAAUUUUGGAUGAGCUGAAAGAUCUAAAUACGAAAUGGUUUUCUGCAGGAGCUAAGCCUUUCAUUUAUCAGGAAGUAAUUGACAUGGGAGGAGAGCCAAUCACAGGCAGUCAGUACUUUGGAAAUGGCCGAGUAACAGAGUUCAAGUACGGUGCAAAACUGGGGACGGUGAUCCGCAAGUGGGAUGGAGAGAAGAUGGCCUACUUAAAGAACUGGGGAGAAGGCUGGGGCUUUGUGCCUUCUGACAGAGCCCUGGUCUUUGUGGAUAACCACGACAACCAGCGGGGGCACGGGGCAGGCGGAGCUUCCAUUCUUACCUUCUGGGAUUCCAGGCUUUAUAAAAUGGCAGUUGGUUUCAUGCUCGCUCAUCCGUACGGGUUCACGCGGGUGAUGUCAAGUUAUCGUUGGCCAAGAUAUUUUGAGAACGGACAGGAUGUCAACGAGUGGGUUGGACCACCGAGUAACUCGGAUGGAUCGACGAAGUCCGUGACAAUCAAUGCCGACACAACCUGCGGCAACGACUGGGUCUGUGAACAUCGCUGGCGACAAAUAAGGAACAUGGUUGUCUUCCGUAACGUGGUAGACGGUCAGCCUUUCUCAAACUGGUGGGACAACAAUAGCAAUCAAGUAGCUUUUGGUCGUGGCAACAGAGGCUUCAUUGUCUUUAAUAAUGAUAACUGGUUUCUCCUCCAAAUGAAAACAUUGUCAUUACUAAUCCGAACCGGCCCUGGUGGGAAAGGUACCAGCCCAUCAGCUACAAGAUCUGCAGCCGAUCAGGCACUGAAGAUGAAUUCAGAGACAUGGUGACCAGGUGCAACAACGUUGGAGUUCGCAUUUAUGUGGAUGCUGUUGUCAAUCACAUGUGCGGAUCUAUGGGUGGCACAGGCACCCACUCAACGUGCGGGAGCUAUUUCAACACCGGGACUAGAGAUUUUCCCGCGGUGCCGUACUCUGCCUGGGAUUUCAACGACGGCAAAUGUCGGACCGCCAGUGGAGACAUCGAAAAUUAUGGGGACAUCUACCAGGUAACUCUUGUUGAUUUCGAUUUUGAUAUUUUUUCUCGUUUAAAUCUUGAUGUGUACAGUAAAGCCAAAGAAAGGGAGUAGUUUAUCUGGGGUUGAACGCUUAGUCCCCUUACUAGUGAAUACAGUGGUGUACAUCAUAGGCUUCUCUUCCGGAAACGCACCUGUGCUGCCCAGUACUGUAGGCACUGAGAAGUCACAAACCCUACGCAUGUUUCACGUGGGCAUGUGAAGGAGCGUGCGUCUGAACCGACUGAGCCCAAGCCUCUCAGUUUUGCCAGCGGGCUCUUUCUUAGGACUUUUGAAAUCAACUACCCUUGUUAAGGGAGCCCAGGAAAAUUGGGAGCUGUGCAGGAUGCUACCCUGGUUGUGUUGGUCGGUCCGUUUGUCUGUUCUUCCAUUUGGAUGUGGCAUGGGUUGUCAGUUCUUUAUGAAGGUUACAGCUCAGCAUCAUUUAGCUGUAACGUUCUUCCAGUCACGAGGGGCUUGCUUGAUAGCUGUGACUUACCAGUCACCAUGGAGGGUGGCACUGUAAUCACAUCAGGCAGUGACCUCAGGACACCGGGGUGCAGAUUAUCAGGUCCCAUAGACUUUACACAUUCAGAGUCUUCAAGAGGUGUUAGACUUGCUCUUCUGUUACAGCGGGAGGGAAUUUUGCUCUCCCAGCCUCUCCCUAGAUGUUUAAGGACAUAAGAGAUAUGGGAAGCCUGACUGCCAGCAGAGAAUUUGGUUACCACGUCAGCCUUCGCUGUGUCUGUUGUUGCCUUUUCUUGCUUUUCAUAUAUCAGAGAGAGUGUGCUUUCCUUGGCCUUUGUCCUCUGCCCAGCGUACCUGUAGAAAUCCCAUCUUGUUGCUUCUUAAGUCUUGUGCGAAGUUCACUUUCAUCUUUGUGUCAGUUUACCUAUGUCUGCCUGCCUGGAAAGCAUCCCUGUAUUUUCCGCAGGUUACACGUCCUUUUACGUUUUCCUUCUUUUCCCUUUUUUUUUUUUCCCCAGCGUGUCAUUACUCUGUCACACACUGGUUUCCUGCCUUCUCCACUGUGUUUCACAUGUUGGGGGCUGGAGAUCUCUUGUGCUCUCAGAAAGGCAUCCUUUAUGAGCUCCUUUAUAACUCAGCGUAUGAGAGCAUAGUCUUCAUUUCCUUCUGUAAAUGGAGAGCUGUAGUAGUUUCUAUUGGAAUUUCAUAAUUAGCCUUCUUUGUCUGAAUUAACUGAAAGCUGUGAAACAUACUAAGUGUUGCGGAAUUAGAACCUGUCCAAAAGACCACGGUUUGGCUGGCGUUGUUCCUUCUUGGUAUGGGGGGAAAAAAAAACAACCAAGGAGUGUUUGAUCUGUUUUCAGCAGAUUUCAUAAUGAUGGGGCUUUUAAAAAUGGAAAUCAUUUUCUACACAAGGGUUUUUUGGUUGUUUAUUGUGUUGAUGAUUCUAUAUGCUGUUCAGAAAGAAUUGCUCAGAGAUAAGUAUCUUACAGAGAACCAGUUUCAUUCACUGUCAAGUCUUGGCAGAUAAGAAGUGCAGUGGUACCUGAUCUCUCGGUAGAGACAUCCAAUUUCUACACAGUUUGUGCUUUAGCGGAAUGCCAUACGUACCUCUUUAUGGUUAAAGACAGAAGCCUAAGAAUCAUUCUCCAAAUGGUUCUCUUUUGCCACUUGGCUGAAAUUUCUCAUAGUUUCUAGCAAGUUGGAUGAAGUAUUCUUCCAGACAGGGAGAAUGCAGAUCGGUCUGGCUGUAGCUUGUAGAAGAAAUUGGCUAAUGCAGUAAUGCAGCGUUAGGAAGGCCGUUCUUGUCAAAGUGCUAAAUUUUUUUCCCCCCAUCUUUCAGAAGUCUAGAACAGACUCAAGGCUUUGCUUCUGAGACACAGAGAGUAAGUACAAGUACAUUAGUUUAUGCAAACCAUUGAAACCGCCUCAUUUUUUUCACUGUUUUCUUGUCAGAUUUGACAUCUAGCUGCCUAGUUGGCCAGCUGUCCAUUCAUAAAGAACUGGGGCCCACGGAGAGCAUGUGGUGAAUACGACACUAAGUUCUGACCAUCUAGGAUGUACAUGUGAAAUCACAAUUAUAGUGGUCUGAGGAGGAAGAAAAACACUGGCAGUCUGAGGGCUGUUUUGCAAGAGAGAGAAGCUAAGCACUCUUAAUAUGGGAUCUCUGAAUCUAAUAACCUAAGAGCUCAACUGUCCUGCAGAAGUUCUCGAGAGAGCAAGUAGCUGAAGCUUCUCUUCAGCAGUUAAUCCCUUAGCUGCUAGACAUAAGAGUUUAUGUUCAAUUACAUUUAGUAGUUUCUUUUUCCAAAUGAUUAUUUCUGUUCAAAUUCUUCUCAUCUUAAAAGGUAGAAUCUUCCUUUUUUCCUGUAGGGAAAUAAAUGGUGCCCAAAGAAGGUGGUGAAUGCUUUGCGGAGUAUAGAAAAAAAUCAGACGAUAGUGUGAUGAUAGCACAAUGAUGUUGUUAAAUCCUUAUCUGAGCGCAUGGUUUUUGACAGUUUUGUAGGAGAGCGUCAGUCUAAGCCAAUCCAUCAAAUAGAUAGGGGAAAUACUUGAAAACUUGCAACCUGUGGCUGCAGGUGGGCCAUUGUAAUGGCAUGAAUUCUCACUGCGGUAAUUAAAACUAAAGAGUUUUCCUAGCAAAGAAUGUAUUAUCGUGUUACUGAUUUGGACUGCCCAAAAGGAUUUUUCCUAAGCACUUUUUGUUUUAAAUAAGUAAAACACACAAUAUGAAUUGGAGGGGAGAACUGCAACUACAAACUUAUAUCUGGAAAUCAGCUUUGUGGGAUGCCAGCUAGUAAGUUCUUAAGGAUGAGGCAAUUGAGUGUCAUUUAUGAGGUUGGUAAUUGCACCAUCUUAGAAUCAAGCAUCUUCUUUCAGCAGCUUUCCUAAAUAAAACCUCUGAAGUGAUCCCCGAUCUCGCCAAGUAAGAGAAGAGGGUUCCACGUGUCAGUGACUUCAGGCAGAACUAGGCCAGAAAGAGCUGGCUUCUAUCUCCUUACUUACAGCCUAGAAGGAGCAUCACCAUACAGGAGCCACUCCAGCACCCAGCUUUCAGAAGAGCUCAGCUCACAGCCACUGUUGAUGUUCUCCUCAUAAGAGUAGCUGAACAACAACCUGAGGAAAGAGAAAAGCUCUAAGUUGUUGGACCAACAAGGCAGACAACAUAGCAACAGGAACCCAAAGCACCUCACAAAAGGCCUGCUGGAGCUCCACCACAGAGUUCCGGACGAAGGCCUCUGCUCAGCCAGACCGGUCUUCUUCCCUAUCGGUUCAUCUUCUGUGAGUUCGGGAUGGUCAGCUCCUGCACCUUUAAAAUUUCUCCGUUACAGUAUUCCCAGCCUUCCUGGGACCCGCGUCCUCCAGAACUAGCUCCCAAGGGUCUCCGAAAGAGACCGUGAUCAGCCCUCGACCCCUCAAGUCUGGGACUCAGAAGUUUAAUGGAAAUGUCGCAAGCAGCAAAUCUGAAUGGUAAAGAGUUAAAACCAUAUGAAGAUAGUAAACUGUGACCAAAUUCUUAGAAAACACAGCAAAAUGUGUCACACCGUCUGCAGCUACAAAUUCUAUCUCUUCUACUUGUAGAUUGUAGAGCUGUGGGAUCCUGCCUACUGCCAAAGCCUUCUUGUGUGUGUAUGCGUGAAACUAGCUGCUCAUUAGGUGGUCUGCAUCAGCAGUGAGCUGGCCCUGGCUGCCAUGAUAGGAAGAGAAGGCUUUGUUUCAAAGAGAACAAUGCAAGUGGUCACGUGCAUGUAAGGAGCGAGUGCGCUGUCCAUACAAACUUGGAGAGUGAUCUCCCUUACCUUGAGAAGGAAGGUACAACUUGUGAAUACCUCAAAAUUCCUCAGGUAGAAGUGUUUCCUAAGCUGUGCAUGUCUGAUCUGCAGUGAAUGGUGAACAAAACCCCAAAAAAAGCAUUGAGCACAGAGCCCGUCGCUGAAAAUGAAAAAAAUUGCUGGAUGCGUAAUGAACAGGGCUGGAAGAAAGACCUGUUAGCAACAGUCGCAGUGUGACGGUGACUGAUGCAACCCCCUUCCCAGAAUGUCAACAUGGAUGGGGUAAUGCCAGGGAUUUGCAACGUGGGAAAGAGGAAAACUGGUUACUACAAAAUCUGCCCGGAGUUGCUACCGUCACCCGAUGCCUUUAUUAUUCCCACAUCGCUAAGGCAGCCCGAAUCGCACUGUCAAUCGCAAUCUCAGACACAAUAAUGAUGGUUACCUUCACAGGGUCUUUUUUGGCUAUUAUUUUCCUCAAGGCCAGCACAGCAUCAGCGUGAAUUCUGCUCGAUAAUGUUGCAACAGUAAGUGAAAACGUUGGCAAAAACUUUGGGAUGCGUUUGAUGCUGGCUGGCUCUCCUGCGUUGCCUAUAAGGCAAGGCCACGUCUUUAACAUGGCUUCUGCCGGGAGCUUUGGCAGCAAGGUCGCAGAGUGGCCGAGAUCAGAGCAGGCUGUUUUUAAUCGCAUCAGGCAGCGAUCCUGUAACAAUUGCAUAAUAAGAAACACACUGUCACAGCAAGCAAAAUGAUCUCUGGUGCAAAACCCUGAGUAAAGCUGCUCAGAUUUUAAUGCCAGAAAAAAAUCACAGCUACAAGUGAGGCACAUAAACACCUCGCUGCCAAACUGUCAGCGUUACGAGAAGCAAAUUAGACACUUUUUAAAACUUUAGUCACUCCUAAGGAAAUAAUAAGAGACGAGCAUCACCUACCUGAAGAAUUUCAUUAUGACAAAAUGAAGGCUGAGCACAGUGUUUAUUUACCAAGCUACCAUAUCCCAGGUAAACGAGUACUCACAGCAUUGGUGCAUUCUGAAUUUGGGGAUAGGUCAGAAAAGUCACUGAAUCGUAGAUUUGUAUAAUUGUUCAAUUUGGAAGAAACCUGGAAGAUCAUCGAGUCCAACCACAACCUAACCAGACUACCCUCACAACCCUCUGCUAAAUCAUGUCCCUGAGCAUCGCGUCCAAAUGGUUCUUAAACACAUCUGGGCAUGGUGUCUCAACUGCCUCCCUGGGGAGCCUAUUGCAGUACUUCACAGCCCUUUCUGUAAAGAAGUUUUUCCCCAUAUCCAAUCUAAGCUUCCCCUGGCGCAACUUGAGGCCGUUUCCCCUUGUCCUGUCACCUUUCACCGGUGAGAAGAGACCAACCCUGCUCUCGCCGUAAGCACUUUCCAGGCUUUAGAGAGAGCGAUAAGGUCUCUCCUCUGGCCUCCCUUCCCCCAGAUUAAACAGCACCAGUUCCUUCAGUCGCUCCUCGCAGGGCACAUUCUCCAAGCCCUUUGCGAGCCUUGCUGCUCUUCUUCGGACCUGCUCCGGCACCUCCACAUCCUUUCUGCGCUGAGGUGCCCCAAGCUGAACACAGUACUCGAGAUGAGGCCUCACCGACUACAGGGGCAGGAUGAUUUCUCUAGUCCUGCUCACCGCACUGUUCCCCAUACAAGCCAGCAUGCCAGUGGCCUUCCUGGCCACCUGAGCACAUUGCUGGCUCAUAUUCAGCCGACUGUCUGUCGGUGCACUGAGGUCCUUUCUGUAUGACAGCUUUCCAGCCACUCCUCCACAAGCCUGCAGGUUUGCCUGGGGUUGUUGUGACCGAAAACUGUCAUUUGUCUGCAAAACAAUGAAGUCAUAGUUGUUAACGUUUCCAUUUAUUAGCGCUGCUAUGCAGUGAAACGUUUGUAUCUGAGAAGAGAAAUUACUUUGGAUCGUCUCCUGUGUUCCUAUUUUCAAAAUUUAAAUCAAAUCCUAGUGAUUCAUUCAGCUACAGUUAAAGUAGAGCUGCUCCAUUUGGCAAACCACGUGAGAGCUGGGCACGUACAGCUGGAGCUGUGGGAUGAGGGCUUCCGGCACUGCAGCUGUGCUGUCGCAAUGCGGAUCAAUCUCGAGUUUGUGCACUGCUCUGCAUUGUCUGGAAGUGUCGCCAGACAGGCGAGAACUUUCACCCUUGCUUGCUGCACUACUGACAAUCACUGCUCUCACCUGGAUUCCACGGCUGCUAUGCCAUCGGGCUUGCCGAAGGGGGAAAUCUGGUACACCUCCUCCAACAUAGCAAAUGUCAUCGAGGCUCUGCUGUCGUAGUACUUGUAAGUGAACAGCGCUGUGCCUUUCAUGUUUUUUACUUUCUAAAAGUGCAAAGAGACACGAAUAUGAAAUGGAAAUAAUUAACUGGCGAGCCGAAUUCCCUGCCGGCAGCAACAGAGAGCAGUGGCAGGCAUGCAGCCCACCAUGGGGCAGGUGGGUCAGGGUCGAAUGUAGGUCAUGCCCGUGCAGUGUACCACGCUGCCCGGUUUUCAUCUUCAGCCUUCGUGACAAUGAAAUGAGGGGAUAUUCACCCAGAGACCGUUAUUUUACAAACACAUGGAUAUCAGUAACAUUUCUUGGUUUGAUUUGUGUAAUAAAAUUUCCUACAUCA
RNA transcript from Centrocercus urophasianus (Greater sage-grouse), 8187 nucleotides. It is a transcript of the gene named pancreatic alpha-amylase-like, with no coding region annotated. NCBI's taxonomy places the organism in Eukaryota, Metazoa, Chordata, Aves, Galliformes, Phasianidae. The transcript has 15 exons. The record is from RefSeq and is a predicted model, not a curated record.